ACAAUGGGUGACUAGGGUUCCGGUCCGGCGAAGACAGUCUCUUUCCCGGAUGGCUGGUCCGAGAGUCACCGACCUCUGGACGGGGUUACACGGCGGGACAAAAGCCCGGGAGAU
Molecule: non-coding RNA, 114 nt
Organism: Marinobacter sp. T13-3
Lineage: Bacteria; Pseudomonadati; Pseudomonadota; Gammaproteobacteria; Pseudomonadales; Marinobacteraceae
Source: Rfam